This 658-nucleotide ribosomal RNA is filed under the name Escherichia coli. Its description in RNAcentral is "partial 23S ribosomal RNA". It matches the Rfam family "Bacterial large subunit ribosomal RNA", at positions 593 to 1251 of the family's 2925-position model. Lineage: Bacteria; Pseudomonadati; Pseudomonadota; Gammaproteobacteria; Enterobacterales; Enterobacteriaceae. The record is from RNAcentral.
GUGACUGCGUACCUUUUGUAUAAUGGGUCAGCGACUUAUAUUCUGUAGCAAGGUUAACCGAAUAGGGGAGCCGAAGGGAAACCGAGUCUUAACUGGGCGUUAAGUUGCAGGGUAUAGACCCGAAACCCGGUGAUCUAGCCAUGGGCAGGUUGAAGGUUGGGUAACACUAACUGGAGGACCGAACCGACUAAUGUUGAAAAAUUAGCGGAUGACUUGUGGCUGGGGGUGAAAGGCCAAUCAAACCGGGAGAUAGCUGGUUCUCCCCGAAAGCUAUUUAGGUAGCGCCUCGUGAAUUCAUCUCCGGGGGUAGAGCACUGUUUCGGCAAGGGGGUCAUCCCGACUUACCAACCCGAUGCAAACUGCGAAUACCGGAGAAUGUUAUCACGGGAGACACACGGCGGGUGCUAACGUCCGUCGUGAAGAGGGAAACAACCCAGACCGCCAGCUAAGGUCCCAAAGUCAUGGUUAAGUGGGAAACGAUGUGGGAAGGCCCAGACAGCCAGGAUGUUGGCUUAGAAGCAGCCAUCAUUUAAAGAAAGCGUAAUAGCUCACUGGUCGAGUCGGCCUGCGCGGAAGAUGUAACGGGGCUAAACCAUGCACCGAAGCUGCGGCAGCGACGCUGAUGCGUUGUUGGGUAGGGGAGCGUUCUGUAAGCCUG